RNA transcript from Fragaria vesca subsp. vesca, 1476 nucleotides. RefSeq lists it as uncharacterized. The transcript is spliced from 5 exons. The record is from RefSeq and is a predicted model, not a curated record. Lineage: Eukaryota; Viridiplantae; Streptophyta; Magnoliopsida; Rosales; Rosaceae.
UAAGUAGACAAGAGUAAGACGGAGACAACAACAACAAACUGCGAAGCAUCCGACCAGACGCGCACACAAUCCAAACCUUCACACUUUGCCAGACCGGCGAGGCGACAGCAACAAGAUGAAGAAGAAGACCAAACUACCAAACCAUUCGAAGAUGUGUCUCUAGAUCUAUUUCCGACCUCAGUUCUCCGGAUAAAGCCCCUGGUUGUUUUCUGUGAGAUGAUAGGAGAUGGGAUCUGCUCAACAGUUCCUUGGAGAUGUGAGUCGUGUUUGGCUUUUACAGUGGUCCAAGGCCAGUUUUUGGUGUCGGAUAUCUAGUCCGGUGUUUCCAAUGUAUCUUGGCUAAAAGGAUUGUAAAAAGAGACAGACGGGUGAGCAUGGUUCAGGGUUUGGGGAGGUGCAGUACUGGGAUUAUUUUGGAAGGCAAUGGAUAAAACCCCUGAAGUAGUAUAUUUCACUGGCAGCGAAAAGAGAGAUGGGAAGAAAGAAGAGAACUCUAAUGGACUAUGUUAAAUUUGAAGGCUGAGUUUCCAAGUAUGCUGUCUAUGGUCGAAUCAAUGCCUACUGCUUUAAGUUAAUGUUGAUGAGCUGUAGGGUGCCGAUAUUUGUUUCUCCCAGAACCCUUGUGACAUCUUUGCGAGUUUUCAAGACUAUUGUGCCAGUGUGUGGAGCCAUGAGAGUGUCAUCUUCUUCAGUGGCAAUACUUUCAAUGCAGUCACCAAACUCGCUGUCAAAAUCAAGAAAUGGCAUCACUUUAAGGGUCUCUUAGCGUGAAAUUGAUCAUCAAGGUUCUGUCAUCCACAUCACCAAUGCCUCCUUCAUCUUCUUGGUCGCUCAUUUCAUCCUGAGCUUCUUGGUGGGGCCUGGGCUGAAGAUCUUUGCAGAAGCUCUGACAGAUUGUGACCCAAAGGUGCAACCUUUCCCAUGUAAACUCCUUUACAUAAAGGGGCCGCAGUUCAAAUUUCUUGUUGGGAAAGACAAUGCGGGUUGCGAGAAGAAGCACCUGAUCAAUCUCAUUGGCUGGCAACACAGAAUCUUGGGCCAUCAAGUGCCCCACAGCAAUCUCUGCUUCCUGGAUGAGUAUUAUGAAGCUGGGAUUCUCAGAGAUGGGGACCAUGCUGCUUUGGUACUCGCAUUCUGGAUACACGGUAUCCAAGAAAACCCAGAGGGCUACAGCAUUGCAGGCCAUUUCACGACUCACUUCUGGUAGUUGGAGGGCUCUGCGUAGCAGCUUUUGGAUGAUGCCAUAGAGAGGUUCGAACGCCAUUGAUGUCUUUACCAGCUUUUCUUGGAAACGGGGAAGAAGGAAAUGUGAAAUGCAGAACGAGUCUGUGGUUUUCUUUUCUGGGUUUCUGUGUUUCUUGAUCGUACUGGGUUUCUUUGGGUUCUGGUGCUCAGGGGUUUGCUUCAGUUUUGAUUCGAUGGGUUUUUAUAGGUGUUUUACCGCGCUACUUAUGGAUUAUGUGCGCAAUUUCUCAU